CGGGACGGGGUGGAGUAAUGUCUGGGAAACUGCCUGAUGGAGGGGGGUAACUACUGGAAACGGUAGCUAAUACCGCAUAACGUCGCAGACCAAAGAGGGGGACCUUCGGGCCUCUUGCCAUCGGAUGUGCCCAGAUGGGAUUAGCUAGUAGGUGGGGUAACGGCUCACCUAGGCGACGAUCCCUAGCUGGUCUGAGAGGAUGACCAGCCACACUGGAACUGAGACACGGUCCAG
RNAcentral lists this ribosomal RNA (234 nucleotides) under uncultured bacterium. RNAcentral describes it as "partial 16S ribosomal RNA". It matches the Rfam family "Bacterial small subunit ribosomal RNA", at positions 104 to 334 of the family's 1533-position model. The record is from RNAcentral.